This 284-nucleotide unclassified non-coding RNA is filed under the name uncultured fungus. RNAcentral's name for it is "partial contains 5.8S ribosomal RNA, internal transcribed spacer 2, and large subunit ribosomal RNA". Lineage: Eukaryota; Fungi. The record is from RNAcentral.
AACGCACCUUGCGCCCUUUGGUAUUCCGAUGGGCAUGCCUGUUCGAGUGUCUUGAAUUCAUCGCCGCCUCCGGUUUCGCGACCGGCUGGCGACGGACUUGGGGGCCUGCCGCGGCGACGCGGCUCCCCUCGAAUGCAUCGGUGGGGUCUCCGAGCACCCACGGGCGUUGUAUUGUCCUCGUCCGACCGGGCCUCGCGUCCCCCGCCUCGACCGCCGUCCGAGCGGCGGUCAAGCACACUUUGAAAUCUGACCUCGAAUCAGGUAGGACUACCCGCUGAACUUAA